UACGGGGGGGAGCAAGCGUUGUCCGGAUUUAUUGGGCGUAAAGAGCUCGUAGGCGGUGUGUCGCGUCGGCCGUGAAAACCUGCAGCUUAACUGUGGGCUUGCGGUCGAUACGGGCAUCACUGGAGUUCGGCAGGGGAGACUGGAAUUCCUGGUGUAGCGGUGAAAUGCGCAGAUAUCAGGAGGAACACCGGUGGCGAAGGCGGGUCUCUGGGCCGAUACUGACGCUGAGGAGCGAAAGCGUGGGGAGCGAACAGG
RNAcentral lists this ribosomal RNA (255 nucleotides) under uncultured bacterium. RNAcentral's name for it is "partial 16S ribosomal RNA". It matches the Rfam family "Bacterial small subunit ribosomal RNA", at positions 524 to 776 of the family's 1533-position model. The record is from RNAcentral.